UAUUUCACAAUGGGCGCAAGCCUGAUGCAGCGAUGCCGCGUGUAUGAAGAAGGCGUUCGGGUUGUAAAGUACUUUCAGCGGGGAGGAAGGCGGUGCGGUUAAUAACCGUGCCGAUUGACGUUACCCGCAGAAGAAGCAACGGCUAACUCCGUGCAAGCAGCCGCGGUAAUACGGAGGGUGCAAGCGUUAAUCGGAAUUACUGGGCGUAAAGCGCACGCAGGCGGUCUGUUAAGUCAGAUGUGAAGUCCCCGGGCUUAACCUGGGAACUGCAUUUGAAACUGGCAGGCUUGAGUCUCGUAGAGGGGGGUAGAAUUCCAGGUGUAGCGGUGAAAUGCGUAGAGAUCUGGAGGAAUACCGGUGGCGAAGGCGGCCCCCUGGACGAAGACUGACGCUCAGGUGCGAAAGCGUGGGGAGCAAACAG
RNAcentral lists this ribosomal RNA (421 nucleotides) under uncultured bacterium. Its description in RNAcentral is "bacterial SSU rRNA". It matches the Rfam family "Bacterial small subunit ribosomal RNA", at positions 362 to 775 of the family's 1533-position model. The record is from RNAcentral.